CGCCUCCAGCCGCCCACCUGCCCUCUCCAACGCCGCCGUCCUCCGCGCCGUCACUGCCUCCGGAUCCCCUCCGAGGUAAAUCCUCGCCGUCUAUUCCCGCGCCGUCCGGCAGCCCGGCUUCCGCCUCGGAUCCGCCCUUCUUAUCCCCCUCCUCCCCGCCUUCUCCGCCGCGUCCUCCGAUUGACCUUCUCUUCUCCACCCUCCUCGACGCCCUCAUCCGCUCUGAUCACCUCGAGAUCGCCUGAUCCCUCCUCUCCGACAUUGACCUAGGGUUUCCUCCUAAGUUAACGCACUAGGCUGGCCAUCGAGGUGCUCGAUCUCAUGGCGGCGUUCCGUCCCCAACAUGUUCUUCUACGGAUCCCUAAUACACGGCAGCGGCGGACGACGCCUUCGCGGCGGCGAAGCAGAUGCCUGGGAGUGGCCGGGAUGCGGACGUGGUUGUAUAUGCUGGUCAUCGGUUACUUGAGGAGCGGGGAGAUGGAAAGGGAGGAGGAGGUGGUGGCGGGAAUGGAACGGAGAGAUGUUGCCACCGCCGGGACCUACAAUACGCUGAUCUCUGGGAUGCCUGAUUGUCGGAUUGCGGAGGACAGGAUCUGUGGGAUGUGAUCACAUUCGCAAAUUUGGUUGGAGAAUGAGGAAGGAAGGGGAGAAUGUUGGAAUGCAAUGCCCUGUUAGGGAAGAUGGUGGGGAUGGGGAUUUCGACGACUGCCGCUUGUUAUCAGAUUCUGCUUCGAUUAUAAUGGAGGAUUGGGAUGGCAAUAGAUGCGAUCAGAGUUCUUGGGUCAAUGGUGUUUAAUGGAUUCUUGGCUGAUAACAAUUUAGGGAAAAUGCCGGAUUUGGUUCAGGGAGGGAGUUUUGGGAGUGGUGAUGAACAAAGAUUACGGGAGAUCGUUUACAGAGUAAUUUUGAAUGCGGGAGGCAACAUUGAGUUUAGUUGUUAAGAUGUUUGACGAGGUUGGGAAUUAAUUGCCCAUCUAAUCAUUCCUUGUGUAGGCAAAGUGUUCAUCAUCUUGCGCAAAUUUAUUGGUGGUUUUCAAUUGAUAUGUGACAAGAGUGAUGAUGCAAUUAUGGUCUGAUGCAAGAAGGUUCUGGUCCACUAAAUGAGUCGUCUGAAUCACUGUUCUUAUGGAGAGGAGAUAACCGGCUUUCUUCUCUGAGGUACGCUUUUAAUCUCAUGACUAUUCUUAACUCUGAAAUCAAAUUCUCCUGCAUAGGUGCAUAUGAAUUUUGAUCAACUUGUAAAAUAGUUACACAUUUAUUCAAUGCUUUUGCCUUGCAAAUUAUGCAUGGA
RNAcentral lists this long non-coding RNA (1291 nucleotides) under Elaeis guineensis (African oil palm). RNAcentral's name for it is "long non-coding RNA (EGUI_LNC021044)". Lineage: Eukaryota; Viridiplantae; Streptophyta; Magnoliopsida; Arecales; Arecaceae. The record is from RNAcentral.